GAGAGAGAGAGAGAGAGAGAGAGAGAGAGAGAGAGAGAGAGAGAGAGAGAUUUGUCACCUGUCUUUGUGUGACUGGAGGAGGUCUCUCGCUCUCUCACUCUCUCUUUCUAUCUCCAUGGAGCUGUGUCGUCUCCCAGGGACUACAUGAAAUGUGAUGACUAGGGAGGACUUUGGUUCCCAGUAUGAGAUGGAAACAGGGUUACACGGGGAUAGAAACUGGUACACUGAGGAUUAGGAUUCCCAGGAAGAUGUUUAAAACUCUUGUUCUGGGCUAAAUGAUGGUGACAGUGGGUCACUCACUCACUCACUCAGACAGGUCCUCAGAUCCAUGAUCAUUACAUUCGUCACACCCAUUUCCAGGCGUGACUGGCCUAGAUUGAUGAGUGACUGGCCUAGAUGGAUGAAAAUGGACGUGGAACACUUACCAUUUUAAGACUUUCCUCUGCUUCUACCCAAGCAAGGUUUUCACCCAAAAGUUCGGGUAUAAGGCACACCUGUUAAUUGAAAUACAUUCCAGGUGACUUUCUCAUGAAGCUGGUUAAGAGAAUGCCAAGAAUGUGCAAAGGUGUCAUCAAGGCAAAGGGUGUCUACUUUGAAGAAUCUAAAAUCUAAAUGUAUAUUUUGAUUUGUUUCACAGUUUUUUGGUUACGACAUGAUUCCAUGUGUUAUUUCAUUGUUUUGAUGUCUUCACUAUUAUUCUACAAUGUAGAAAAUAGUUAGAAUAAAGAAAAACCCUUGAAUGAGUCGCUGUGUCCAAACAUUUGACUGGUACUGUACAUUUUCUAUAUGUUUUAUGUGGAAUGAAGAACUGAUUACUUUCUAUAGGUUGUAUCUCUAUGGCGCUCACUGUGCUGCUUCCAGACCUUUCUUUAGCUCAAGGCCUUUGCUUUGACUCCACGGCAACCAGCGCCAGACACGUAGGUAGCUGGCUGGAAAACACACAGAGUCAGAGCAGCUCAACGUCACACAUACACCCACACACACACGUACAUGGACGCGUGUAUAUGCAAUAAACAUUAUAUUACCAAUGUAUAACAGUAUGUGUGGACAAAAACAUGUCACAUGUCAUGUCACGCACAAAGUCAUGUGACAUGUUAAUGUCACAUGCUAUGUUUACACUGUGUCUGUAUCUGUGUGGGUUGAGGAGGAAGUUAUUUGUGACUUUGUUCCUGUCGUUGUCAUGCCCUUGUUGUCAUGCCCCACUGGCCGCCACUGGCCGCCACUGAGCUGGAGCGGGAUAGAGCUGGGGACAGGGAGACAGGGGAUCAGAGCUGAGGCAACAACAGACCUCGGGCACUCUGUUCCAGACUUAUCAGUCUCAUUACUCACAAUGUCGUGCGCGUGCAUCAUCCAAUAGAUAGCAACAGCAAACAUGCCUAAACUAAUACAGUCAAACAAGACGAAGAUGAAGAGAGAGAGAGAGACUGAGGGAGAUGAUCAUUUGGGCAAAAGACUGUCCUCUUCUUGACUCCUCCGCCCGCUUACCUCUGUGAACCGGAAACCGAUAACUGGGGGGUGUCAAAUCAUUAGUAGGCGUAUGAAGGAGGCUGCUUCUCUCCCUGAUUACCAGAAAAUGCUCAAGAAUGUCCUUGUGGCAGGAAGUGUGGAACUGUUUUAUAAUUUGCCACAUCCCCUUUGAAUCAGCUGUUGUUUUCUAGAAGAAGAAAAGCAAUUACACAUUUAAAAACAAUUUGCUACUUAUCCUCUUAUCUGAAAAAUGUCUUGCACAACUAGCCAUUAUUACAUUUUUGAUGAAUCUACACAUUUAUAAAUGUAAUUUGCCUGAUGACGCUCGAGCGAAAGAGUGCCUCAUUUCAUGCAAGCACAUUUGUUUCCACAUUUCCUCUCCUCCCCUCCCAUCUUCUCCCCGAUUACCUUUGAACUUGUUCAAAAGAGGCGGGGAGAGAACGGAGGACGGAGGAGUUAGCUAAACCAAUAGAGAAUCUCCCUGAGGGGGAGACUGAGAACGUGAUUGAGUGAAAAGGAGAGUGGGAGAACCGACAACAGGGAGGGAAAGAGAGAUGCACAGAAAACAGAGAGAUAAGGAGCCAGGCUUGACAAACAGAGUGAAGAGGGGAGGCUUUAAAAGAGAGGGAUUCCAAAAUGAUGGCCGUCUUCUCCAUUUUACUGGCUAGAUCCCAACUUUGUGUACCUUGACCUCGUCUUUAUGGCCUAUUAUUGUGUCCUUGACCCAUUGUACAGUGGGGAUGUUUAAGCACUGGAAGUGAAACCAGGUCACAAAAUAGUAGCAGUGCAGUGGGCUGACACUUUGGACUGCACUGUGACCUCCUAAGCCAGAGGAACCAUUCAUGCCCGUUUGUUAGUGUCGACCAUUUUCUGGAACUUACUAUGGCAAAACAAACCAUUUGCUUCCACUGUGUUCCCAAUGUGUUCACAGUUUAGUCCUUAGCUAUGAUAAAGUAAUGGAAAGUUUUUGAACAGAGAAACUCUGGAGAGAGAGAGAGAGAGAGAGAGAGAGAGAGAGAGAGGGAGAUAAGGAGAGAGGGAAUGGAAAAAGUGGUAGGCUGGUAUUUGCAUCUGUUUGUGGCUUGUGAUAAUUUUAAACCUUUAAAUGAUUCAUAGUUGUCAGUGUUUGAGGUGGUCGCUUGAUACACAACCUCAAAUGGGUGGGGAUGAUGCUACAUCUCAGGGGUCUAAGCAGUAGAGCAGAUGUCACAACAAAGGUGAUAACUAAAAGGAGAUGUGUGCCGCCUGCCUGACGAAGAGCAGCUUGGGUCGGAACAGACCGUGCCACUGUACUCGUCUGCUGCUGUGUUUGAUAUAACCAUUAGGGAUCUGUUUCUCCUAAACACUUUGUUUUUACACAGUCUUACACUGCAACAGAUUCCUUCUACUUUGCGAAGACCAGGUGGGGACCUUUUCAAUGACGACAUGAGAGUUUUGUCUAGAAAGGAACCAGUGUGACAGACACAGAGAGGCUGACAUGUUGACUAUUUCGGUAGCCGUCUCUAGUGUUUGUUUCCUGUCUCUAGUGUUUGGUGGUGUUAGUGUGUAGAAGGCCUUCAGACGUGUUCUGUUACUGUCAAAGGGUGCAAAGGUAACCUCAUCUUAUUCAC
Molecule: long non-coding RNA, 3077 nt
Organism: Oncorhynchus tshawytscha (Chinook salmon)
Lineage: Eukaryota; Metazoa; Chordata; Actinopteri; Salmoniformes; Salmonidae
Source: Ensembl